RNAcentral lists this ribosomal RNA (463 nucleotides) under uncultured bacterium. Its description in RNAcentral is "partial 16S ribosomal RNA". It matches the Rfam family "Bacterial small subunit ribosomal RNA", at positions 28 to 507 of the family's 1533-position model. The record is from RNAcentral.
GAUGAACGCUGACAGAAUGCUUAACACAUGCAAGUCGUGGGCGAAUCUGUGCUUGCACAGGCUAGCCAAGGCGGACGGGUGAGGAACGCGUAAAGAACUUGCCCUGCAGACAGGGAUAACAGACGGAAACGACUGAUAACACCUGAUACAGUUGCCGGCACGCAGGUGCCGGGCAAUGAAAAGAGAUGCUGCAGGAGAGCUUUGGGUGCUAUUAGCAUGUUGGUGCGGUGAGGGCUCACCAAGGCGAGGUUAGGUAGCCGGCCUGAGCGGGUGAACGGCCCCGAGGGGUCUGGGAUACAGCACUUACUACUACGGGAGGCUGCAGUGGGGCAUAUUGGACCAUGGGGGCAACUCUGAUCCAGCACUUCUGUGUGCACGAAGAAGGUUUUCGGAAUGUAAAGUGCUUUCAGAAGGGCAGACGAUAGUGACGGUACCUGCAGAAGAAGCGACGGCUAACUACGUG